AUUGAGUUGCGUGCCGUAAACCCGAAGCCGAGUGAUCUACCCAUGGGCAGGUUGAAGCGAGGGUAAGACCUCGUGGAGGACCGAACCCACUUCGGUUGAAAACGGAGGGGAUGACCUGUGGGUAGGGGUGAAAGGCCAAUCAAACUCGGAGAUAGCUGGUUCUCCCCGAAAUAGCUUUUGGGCUAGCCUCGGGUGUUCAGCCGCGGUGGUAGAGCACUGAUUGGACUAGGGGCCUUCACCGGUUACCAAACCCAGUCAAACUCCGAAUGCCGCGGCUCCAGAGCCCGGGAGUCAGACCGUGGGGGAUAAGCUCCAUGGUCGAGAGGGAAACAGCCCAGACCGCCAGCUAAGGCCCCCAAAUCCGGGCUAAGUGGGAAAGGAUGUGAAACCGCACAGACAGCCAGGAUGUUGGCUUAGAAGCAGCCAUCAUUUAAAGAGUGCGUAAUAGCUCACUGGUCAAGUGGUUUCGCGCCGAUAAUGUAGCGGGGCUCAAGCCCGGUGCCGAAGCUGCGGCACUGCGCCCUCCGGGGCGCGGUGGGUAGGGGAGCAUUCCCUGGGGAGCGAAGUCGACCCGUAAGGGCUUCCCGCAAGGGAUUAAUCGAUGGACCGCAGGGAAGAGAGAAUGCCGGCAUGAGUAGCGAGAGACGGGUGAGAAACCCGUCCGCCGAAAGCCCAAGGGUUCCUGGGGAAGGUUAAUCCGCCCAGGGUUAGUCGGGACCUAAGGCGAGGCCGAGAGGCGUAGUCGAUGGACAACCGGUUUAUAUUCCGGUACCACCGGCCGGCGCUUGAGCGAUGGGGGGACGCGGAAGGAUAGGCGAACCGCGGCGAUGGUUGACCGCGGGCAAGCGUGUAGGGCGCCGCCGAGUCAAAUGCUUGGCGGCAUCAAGCCUGAGGCGUGAUGCCGACCCGCCUUUAGGGGAAGUCGCUGAAUCCAUGCCGCCGAGAAAAGCCCCUAGCGAGCCGUCCGGUGCCCGUACCCCAAACCGACACAGGUGGGCGAGUAGAGAAUACUAAGGCGAUCGAGUGAACCCUCGUUAAGGAACUCGGCAAAUUGGCCCCGUAACUUCGGGAGAAGGGGCGCCCCGUUAGCGUGACGGGACUCGCUCCCUGAGCGCGAGGGGGCCGCAGCGAACAGGCCCAAGCGACUGUUUACUAAAAACACAGGUCUCUGCUAAGUCGUAAGACGACGUAUAGGGGCUGACGCCUGCCCGGUGCCGGAAGGUUAAGGGGAAGGGUUAGCGGUCGGCUUCGGCCGGCGCGCGAAGCUCCGAACCUAAGCCCCGGUAAACGGCGGCCGUAAGGGAGUUGCGGCCCCAUCCGGGUAACCGGAUGGGAAAAACCCGGCUGUAUGCUGGGAACCCCGAGUAUCUCCGGGUACUCGCCUCCAGGACGAGGCAGUGACAAUCCCAGGAGUGCGGGCAACCAGCAGGAAAGGCCCGGAAGGCGAGGGUCUCGGAAAGGAAGGUGCCCAUUGGUGUACGAUCCAAGGAAGGUGCCACCCGAGGUGGGAUGGUACCUGGCGGGAUUCGCGGACGGAGAAGGGAGCUUCAACGUGAGCUUCCGUCCGCGCAAGGAUUACCGCCAACCGUGGAAAGUAUCCUUGUGCUUCAACAUAUCCCAGAAGGACAAGGUGAUCCUCAGCCAGUUCAAGAGAUACCUCCAGUGCGGCACCAUGAGACGGAGAAGCGAUGGGGUGUGGUACUACGAGGUCAAUAACCUCAACGCCAUACUCGAGCACGUGAUUCCUUUCUUCGAGACCUACCGUUUUCGGUCGGCGAAAAAGAAGCGGGAUUUCAGCAAGUUCAAAAAGAUAGCCCGCCUAGUCGCUGAGGGUCGUCAUCUCUCCGAGGAUGGCAUCCGGGAGAUAUUGAAGAUCCGCAGGGAGAUGGACGACGGCGGAAAACGCAAGUACCGGGAGGAGGAGAUCCUCGCCAGGUUCGAUUCCGGGAAUCCUCAGAGGCCAUACGCCGGGCCCCUGGAAUGAGUCCAGGGUGAAGAUAUGGUCCACCCCUCGUGGCGACACGGGGAAAGGUGAACUAUAACGGUCCUAAGGUAGCGAAAUUCCUUGUCGGGUAAGUUCCGACCUGCACGAAUGGCGUAACGACUUGGGCACUGUCUCAACGAGGGACUCGGCGAAAUUGCACUGCCCGUGAAGAUGCGGGCUACCUG
RNAcentral lists this ribosomal RNA (2169 nucleotides) under Actinomycetota bacterium. RNAcentral describes it as "Actinobacteria bacterium (hot springs metagenome) partial 23S ribosomal RNA". It matches the Rfam family "Bacterial large subunit ribosomal RNA", at positions 694 to 2072 of the family's 2925-position model. Lineage: Bacteria; Bacillati; Actinomycetota. The record is from RNAcentral.